Molecule: long non-coding RNA, 252 nt
Organism: Cydia strobilella
Lineage: Eukaryota; Metazoa; Arthropoda; Insecta; Lepidoptera; Tortricidae
Exons: 2
Source: RefSeq, a predicted model, not a curated record
UAUACUCUGUAUCGUUAGGUAUUUAAAUAAAAGUAAACAAAUAAUUUGUACAUUUUCGGAGACCCAGUUAUAACGUUUAUUGGUUAACCAACCAAAUACAAAACCCCUUGGAUCUGUCACUGAACGACCUGACUUUAAACUACAUUAUUUGAUCAUGUAAUGUUUUCAACUACCCUCAACUGGCUUAAAGAGCCAUUUGAGGGUAGAUUUUGUUUACUUUUAUUUAAAUACCUAAAGAUACAGAGUAUAGAA